CGCCACGGCUCAUCCCUCAGGCUUUGCUCAUUUCUCAGACUCCAAGCCAUACUCUCUGCUCUUCACACGCCACCUCUUGGAAAGCUUCCAGCUCUACACCUGCCUGCCCUCCUGUCACCUUUUGCUCGGUGGAUCUCUCGAACCCAGGUAAACCUCUGUAACGUCCACCGAGAGUAAACAGAUGGAUGUAACUUUGAGGUCUGAAAACUGAAGCCAAAAAAAUAUGAUUGACAGCUUAUACAGUCCUGCACUCCUCUGCAGCACUGCAGUGUGGGAAAUGGCAGUGAAUCUUCAAUAACAGGUGAUCACGGCUGAGCAAACAACAUCAAACCAUAACAGCAGAGUGCCAGAACAUCCAGAACAGCCAUCCUUUCAGUCUCGCAAUCACACUUCAGUACGUACAGCUCGAAAAAGAGCCUCGCCCAGGGUGUGUGUGAUCAUGGUAAUGGAAAAUAGUGUAUAAUCGAGAAGAGCGCUGGUGAGCUAAUGAAAAGGGUAGCGGGGUGACAUUUUCAGAGUGAUGUCUGAAGUAGAAUGACAUUUACAGAGAAGAAGCCCCAAAGACAGUCUUUUUUUAAAGGGCCUGUAUAUUAUAUGGGAGCAGCACAGGAAAACGUGAAAUGUGAAGCUGAUUUCCACAUGACUCAUGCGUGCUGGUGUCAGUUUUUAUCUUCAGGUAGUAUCAUUUGGCUGGAUACUGGUGCACAGAUGGAAGAUGUGUGAAAAAAAAUUCCCUUUCAAACUGUCAAGCAUUAAUUUGAGACAAAAAACUAACAGGUUGUUGCAGAACAUUAAAAAUUAACAGAGUGCAUUAGCGAUUAAAAAAGGUCAUUUCGUCUAAAGAUAUGAAUCUUUUUGGAUGAUUGCGAUUCUUAUUCAUCGAAUGGCAACAAAUGAUCACCAAGACAUCUGUUCCAGGUGAGGUAACCCAGCAGGUUCCUUUUAAAACAGCUGUGUUAACACAUAAUUGACAAGUUUCACAGCCUGACAGUAAUGUCUGGCAGUGCAAAGGAGGAUUUCUCAUAAUGAGAUGGUGCAAGAUGGAUAGCCAAGGCAGGAGAAACGUGAAAGGUUUGUGAGACAUUAGGUCAUGGCUGUGAGAAAGAUGACUGUACGGUGAAAUCUGGUUGAAAAAAACAAAACAAAAAAACCCAGCCUGAGCUCUUUGACGGACUUGAAAGAAAAAAUACCACAAUUCUGCUGCGAGACCUCAGUCCUGCUAGAAACCCUCCCUCAACAAAAAAACAUCAACAAUAUUGAUGCCUUAGUAAUUUUAAGUGUGUUUGAGCUAAUGGAAAUCUUAACUUCGUUAGUAUUUCAGGUUAAGUAAGCAUGUCAGUGUUAAAUAACCGUGCCGCACACAAUCCCACGUAAUCUCAAGUGGUCCAAAACUGCAUAUGCAUGAUGUCCUUUGGUGUCAGUGCCUUGAUGCAGGAGUCACUGCACUUCCAGAUGGCAAGCGACUUCAUAAAAGUCCAUAUAUGAGGAGGGGAGGGGUGGUGGUUGCUAGGAUACAAAACCUGCCACCUUGACAAAAUCUAAGAGUUUGAUGUUAUGAAAGCUGUGUACAACUUCCUGAAUAUUAGUGUGUAUGUCCAAUUAGCUAGUGGCCAAGUAACUGAAUGAGUCUCGAACUGUCGAGCAUGAACACACAGCAUGAGUGACACAGCUGUUACUAAGUUGCUAAUGCAAACCGACGUAUAGGAACA
Astatotilapia calliptera (eastern happy) is the source of this 1709-nucleotide long non-coding RNA. Lineage: Eukaryota; Metazoa; Chordata; Actinopteri; Cichliformes; Cichlidae. The record is from Ensembl.